Molecule: non-coding RNA, 208 nt
Organism: Pelobates cultripes (western spadefoot toad)
Lineage: Eukaryota; Metazoa; Chordata; Amphibia; Anura; Pelobatidae
Source: the annotation of a GenBank genome assembly
CCUGUUUGUUCAGUGUUCCUGUCCAAAUACACAAACAAAAGAUGUAUACUUUUGACACACUUCAAAUGUCAAUGCUUUAGUCUUUCCAGUGUUUAAGAUAUGCGCACAGUUUAACCACAUCAUUGCAAGUAUUGGUAACUUUUUGCUAAUUAGCAGACAUACAGACAUAGGUCUUACCAGGACCCUGUUUUCAUCAUUUCAUCAUGUC